RNAcentral lists this unclassified non-coding RNA (399 nucleotides) under uncultured bacterium. RNAcentral describes it as "contains 16S-23S intergenic spacer region". The record is from RNAcentral.
UCCCCGUUACCGGGGCAGUCUGGCUAGAAAAAUUCAACUAACCAUAAGGGUUGCGCUCGUUGAUGGACUUAACCAAACAUCUCACGACACGAGCUGACGACGGCCAUGCAACACCUGUCACUGAGUUCCGGCUUACAAUACGCAAAUAAAGAUUUGUGUACUAUAAGCCGGCACUCACUGCUUUCGCAGUAAUUCUCAGGAUGUCAAGCCUUGGUAAGGUUCUUCGCUUAACAUCGAAUUAAACAACACGCUCCACCGCUUGUGCGGGUCCCCGUCAAUUCCUUUGAGUUUUAGUCUUGCGACCGUACUCCCCAGGCGGGAUGCUUAACGCGUUAGCUUCGCAACAAACCGGGUCGAUACGGCUUACUGCUAGCAUCCAUAGUUUACGGCGUGGACUAC